UACAACAUUUAGUAAACUUAGCCAUACUGAGAACUACAGAGAGAGUUUAGUGGAGCUGACAGGCCUAAUUAGCUUUGUAUCAACUCAUUUAGAAUUGGCUUGAAA
This is a long non-coding RNA of Etheostoma spectabile (orangethroat darter), 105 nucleotides long. RefSeq lists it as uncharacterized. NCBI's taxonomy places the organism in Eukaryota, Metazoa, Chordata, Actinopteri, Perciformes, Percidae. The record is from RefSeq and is a predicted model, not a curated record. The transcript is spliced from 4 exons.